CCUCCGAACAUAGCAAGCUGAAUUGAGGCACCAAGUUACCCUCCUGCGCCAAGAGGUUCAAAUCGGAGGGAAUCUCGAUCAUACGAGCCCCCCAUGUACCACUGAGUGAGUAAUGCCCUCCUAAAAAAUCUGAACAUCAUUAGGGUCCAAGUCGGAUUCAGACUCAUAUUUAUCAACUACUACACUCUUUCCCCUCUCGGUCGUAGAGGUGGGGACACGACCCGCCGCGUAUGAAGAAGGUGCGCUUGAACUCACAACAACCACACUAGGGGAUGGAUUCUCAACUAUGGAAGGACAUCCCGUAUUAUCCGUAACAGGAGCAUUAGACUGAACCGCCAUAACGGCUGCAUUUUCCUGGCUCUGAAUACCAGCAUCAACUUUGCCUACCCGCUCCACCCCUAUGGAAUACGGUGCAACAGUGUUUUCCCCUAGGCCCGUCGGAGGACAAUCCAAAUUGAUCACAGCCGGAGGUGCCAUUUCGAACACUACCCUUCGUCUGCUUGACAACCCUCCUUCCUUCCUGGUCGAUGGAAAAUCGUUCUGAGGGCGAAUAAUACCAGAAGGGAGCUCGUCCUAGGUGGUUGCUCGAGUCGGGGUAACCAAGGCCGUAGAAUCGACUGAGGCAACCCUCGAUGAAGGAUGAGCAGCAGACACCGUGCUGAGGAAAGCAAAUGCAGCCGACCAACGGAAAGCUAGCUGAGGAGCCCUAACUUUGCGAACUCUUCCUGGCAACGACAAACAAUAAUAUUUGAAGGUUAAGAGCAAAUAAAAAAGGGGGGAAAGGACGAAUGGAGAAUAAGGGUGUUAUCUCACCUACAAGGGGCCUACGCUCGAAUCUCUCAUGAAAGGUCGAUCACGUUCAUACUCCCACUGUGUGGGGAAGGACGACCUCGACCCAUUCUCGAAUCCCCUCCAAAGGAGGCGGGGGCAGCUUCUCAGUUACGAAAUAACGAAGCAGAUUAUUACAUACAAUAUAAAAUCUAAAGAGGAUGAGAACAAAACUACUCUACUAAUCUGGGGCGAAGAUUUACAAACAAAUUCCACACUUUGGGAAAUCCAGUUGAGUCCUCCAUGAGGUGCUCGGUCUUCACAUAGGAAAAGUUUUCAAAAAAGUUACGAUUGUUCCUAUCAUCCAUCUUGACUAACAGACCUUUUGACCUCGGGUAUGGGCAUGGGUCAUCAUGCCACGAAUUUUCUAAGGAGCGAAUAGGCUGAGCAUGUGUCCUAGGGUGACCUCACGACUGGCUUGCUCCGCAUACUUGAUGAACAUGAGGAAUAGAUAGUACAACUAAGGAGAAAGUUGGGUGGGAAAUACCUCAUAAUAGCGGCAGAAGUCACCACCAACAUGAGAAGUGGGAGCGUAUACCCCACGAGAAAGGGGUAAGCAUAGAACAUGCAGAACCCGUGACGGUCAAUUUGGACCCUAUCAUCACUCCUUGCCAGUACCAUCUCGAUAUAAUUGGGAAUUUCCCAUCGUUCCCAUAAAUUUUCUAUCCUAAAAUCCCCUAUGAAGGGAGGAAUAUUUACAUUUUUCUCGCCGACUUCAGUGCUGAAAUCCACCACUGCCCUCCCCGGGUGGGAUACAAUUCCCUCUACUAAAGGAACAUCUUCGCAUUCUAUCGGUUCUGUGUCACCGGCUGCAGAAAAGGAUUGUCAGCUGUCAGAGGGGUAGCCAAGAGAUUAUCAUGGGAAGAAUUUCUUGCCAUCGUUAACCCGCAAGAAAGAAGAGGAGAAAGAACUUUGCGGAAGAAAUAAGAAAAUAGAAGAUUACUGCAAGCAAGAGUGUAACGAACCGACCAACUGUUUUGAGCUAUAGCACAUCGUUCAGCAAUCUGAGGCCAUGAAGAUCUUCAUUUAAGGUAUUUUGACUUCUACGCAUGGUCGGAGUUAAGUUUCGGGAAGUUGAGUUGAUUUGGAAAGAGAAUUCUCAUUUCAGAAGCUUAAAGUUGAAAGAAUUAACCAAGAUUGGAUUUUUAAGUAAACGCCUCAGAAUUGGGAUUUGAAGGUUCCAUCAGGUUUGUAUUAUGACUUUGGGAUGGGGCGUAUGCCCGGAUCGGGUUUUAGAUGACCUGGGAGCAUUUUGGCGCCUAUUGUAGAAGUUAGCAUUUUGGAAGAAUUUCAUAAGUUUGGUUUGAAGUGCAUUUCAGUGUUAUCGAUGUCCAUUUGGGAUUCCGAGUCUGGUAGUAGCUCCGUGUGUGAUUUUGUAGUUGGGAGCGCAAUCGAAGGUGAAUUCAGAGGCCCGUAUGUCAUUUUGGAGCCAUUUGGCUAAAGAUAGAAAAUUGAAGGUUUUUGGAAAAGUUUGACCGGAUGUGGACUUUUUGAUAUCGGGGUCGUAUUCCAAUUCUGGAAGUUGGAGUAGGUCCGGAAUGUCAAAUAUGACUUGUGUACAAAAUUUGAAGUCAAUUGGAUGUGAUUUGAUAGGUUUCGGCAUCGAAGGUAGAAGUUUGAAGUUCUAAAGUUCAUAAAGCUUGAAUUGGAGGUUGAUUCAUGAUUUUAGCAUUGUUUGAUAUGAUUUGAGUCUUCGGUCAAGUUUGUAUUAUGUUUUUAGACUUAUGCAGAGGUUUUGUUAGGAGACCCGGGGGCUCGGGUGUGAUUCGGGAUAGCUUCAGAGUGAUUUACUAAGAAAUAGGAUUGUUGGUACUGGUAUGAUCGCAAUAGCGAUGUAUUGGUCACAAAUGUGACAUCGCAUUUACAAGGUCUUGUUUGCAUUUUCAAACCUGGGCGGCUGGGGGAUCGUUCACAUUUGCGACAUUUUAGGUCACUUUUGCGAGGCCUGAAGGGGGUUCGCAUUUGCGAAGCCCUUAUCGCAUUUGCGAAGCAGGCCAGUUCGGUCGGGGUCGCAUUUAUGAUGAAAUUGUAACGACCCGAUUAGAUGUUUUACUAUUUAGAACCCCAUUCCCUUAUAUAAAACUUCCGACGAUUUCUUUAGCUAAUUACGACUUGCAAGGGCGAUUAGUUUGGAAGUUAGGAGAGUUUUGAGUGAAAAUAAAACCAAUUAUUUCCUUAAGGUUUUCUUAAAAGGCCAAAUUUGAUUUCAGUCAAAUUUCUUGGGAAAAAGACUUGGAUUCAUGAUUUGACGGUCCUAGAAGGUCCGUGGAAAAAUAUGAGACCUAGGAAUAUGUUCGGAAUCGAAUUCCGAGGUCCCUAGCCCGAGUAUGGAAUUUUUAUGAAAAAUUAUUUAAUCAAAGUUUUAAAGAAUAAAAGAAUCUAAAUAUUCAUUAAAAACCCAGGUAUCGGGUUCGGAUUCUGGUUUCAAAACUUGGUACAAGUCUGAAAUAUCAUAUAAGACCUACUCGUAAAGUUUGGUGUCAAUCCAAGUAGUGUAAGGGCGUUUUGACCCGUUGAAAGAAAAUUAAGAACUAGAAGUUCACUAAGUUGAAUCAAUUGGUUUUGGGGUUCGAUUCCUUGAUUUGGUAUUGUUUUGGGUGUUUUGAGGGUUCGACUAGGUCCGCCUCAUGAUUUCAAACUUAUCAGUAUGUUUGGGUGGGGCACGAGAGCCCCGAGCGUCAAAUGGUUGAGGUUCGAGUGAAGUCGAAUUUUGAUGAGAAACAAUAUUGUUGCUUCUGUCAAAACCGCUGUUGCGGCUCUAUGACCGCAUAAGCGGUGACCGCAUACGCGGCCACAUGACCGCAUAAGCGGUGACCACAUAAGCGGCCACAUGACCGCAUAAGCGGCCACAUGGCCGCGGAAGCGGAAAUGGGGAAGGUAAAGGGAAUCGCAGAAGCGUCCACGGGGACCGCAAGAGCGGUCCCGCAUAUGUGAACAAACGACCACAGAUGCGGUCUGGCCAGCUCCUCCCCGAACCGCAGAAGAGGCUAAAUGGACGCAUAAGCGGACUCCGCAAGUGCGGAUAUAUGCCUGCAUAGGCGAAAAUCGCUGGAGCAUAAAGUACAUUAAAUUCGAACUCCAAUCCCUUUUCUCCCAUUUCUCAUCCGAUUUUGGGGUGAUUUUGGAGCUUUCAAAGAGAGAGUUUCAACGUAACAUCACAAGGUAAGUAACUCUCACUCACUCUUAGCUUAAAUACACGAGCAUUACAUAGAUUUAACAUUUAUAAUUAAAUAAAAUCAAGGGUUAGAGCUAGAUCUAGAGUUUUAAAAAAAUUAUAAUUUAACCACCUAAUUAGCUAGGUAAUGAAGUAAAAUUUACAUAUUAGUAAUCCUUAGGUCAUAGAGAGUAUUUUCCUUCGAAAGAUCUCUAAAUCCGGGCACGUGGGGCUGGGGUUGAAAUUUAGAAAACUUGUGGGAAAGGUUGGAAAAUCAUUUAAUUAGCUGGAAUUCAACUUUUUAAGCCCUUAUUGACUAGUUUCUGCAUUGUUUAACUAGUUUGUACGCUUUCGGCUUCGCUGUGAGGUCUCGAGCUUGUUCUUGGCAUUUCGAAGUGCUGUUUAGAGCGAGGUAAGUCUCCUUUCUAAUCUUAUAAGGGGAGAAUUACCCCAUAUGUGAGUUAUAUGAUUAUGUGCUCCUAUUUGUGGGGGCUACGUACGCACGAGGUGACGAGAGUCCGUGCUUAGCUACUAUUAUGCUAUUGUCCGGGUAGUCUAGGACCCAAAAACAUGUUAUACUUGGAUUAAACGUACGCACGAGGUGACGAGAGUAUGUGCGUAGCUAUUAUUAUGCUAUUGCCCGGGUAGUCUAGGACCCAAAAGCAUGUUAUAUUUGGAUUAAUCAUGAACCCAUUGGUGGCUUGAAUUGCUUAAAUCAUAUUAAAUUUAUAAAUGGAUUUCAAAAAAGAAAGACUUAAGCUUGUUUUCUCAAUUUAUUAUAGAGUAUUUAACUUUCUUGGAUAUUUGCUCCAUGUCGACUAUUUGACUGAUUGUCUGUCUGCGUAUGUUUAUUUUGGGACUGGUCGUACGCCUCGGCAGAUUAAUAGAUGCAUCUAUAGGCUUGUCGUCGACCCUCGACAAGUGCACAUUUAUUUCUUUUGGAUCGGGCCGUCGCCUCGGUAUGAUUUGCAUUUUCUUGAAUUGCUUCCUCGACUCAUUUGAGUCGUGUUAUGCCACACUAUGGAUCGAGAUUAUACUGUUAAUAAUAAUAAGAAACCUAAGGAAAUUUUCCAUGAAAGAAUUAUAUGCUUACUUGUUUCCUCUAUCUGGAUUAGAAUCAUGUUUAUAAAAUAAAUUUACUGUUUAAUAUAUUUAUUAUGAAUAAUAAUCAUUCGACUACUAGUGAGUUUCAAAGUUGACCGUCUUGUCUCUACCCCUUCGGGAUUAGGCGGGACAUUCAUUGGGUACACGUUUUUGUACUUAUACUACACUUACUGUGCAUUUGUUGCACAUGUAUAUCUGACUCCAGUGGUGUGCUAGGCAUAGUAAUGGAUGAUUCUGGGACUAGAUGAACUGCAUUAUUCGAGGCGGCCGCAGCUAGAGUAGUCCCUUCCUUUGCAAUAUAUUUACUUUCCGUCCAUUGUAUUCCGGGCGGAUAUUGUAUUUUCUCUUAUCAGUAGAUGCUCACGUACUUGUGACACUGGGUUCUGGGAUGGUUUGAAAUAUUGUGUUGCUGGUUUAACUUUUAAUUUUGAUUCGAAAAUCUAUAUUCUUUAAAAAUUUCUAAAUAUGGAAGAAAAUUCCUAUAUUUCAAAAUUAUUAAAACGAGAUUUGAUUAAGUAAUUGGGUUGGCUUGCCUGAUAGCAGUAUUCAACGCCACCACAACCCUUAGUGGAUUUUGGGUCGUGACAGAAAUCUUCGCUUUUGCGAAGUCGCAUUUGUGGUCCCCCUGUCACAAAUGCAAUAUGAGAGGGUUGUGUCCAAUUAUUAAAUUCGAGACUAAGCCCAUUUCCCUCAUUUCCCAUUUGUCCUUAGGCAAAUUUUGAGAGCAUUUGAGGAGGGAUUCCAUCAUCAUCAAAUAGAUAUCACACCUCCUUUUUACACACCUACCCCGAAGGAUAUAAGGGAGUUUUCCAUUUUAAGUGACAUUAUUCGAAAUGAAAUUAUUUAUUUAUUUAGAGUCGACACUUGGGAAAGGUUUGGAUUUUGGUGUCCCAAGUCAUCGGUUUAUCUUGAAUCCCAAAUCGAGGAAACUUUCGACUUUCCAAGUGAAGUAUGCGAACUAGAAAUUCUAAGUAAGGAAUUUUGUUGAUCCGAGGGAAGGUAUUGGCAUUUCCGAAUCCCUUGGUUCUAGCAUGGUCGCGUAAACUAUUAUAAAUGGCUAAAUAUCUGAUUUUAAUAUAUGUUUCAAUUUAAAGUGCAAUUUAAAAUACUUACCGCUUUGAAUUAGUUUUUUAAGGAAUUUGUAACAUUGUUAAAAUAUGUCUCGAACCACGUCACAUAAAUGCACUCGCGAUUUUUGGCAUAUUCUAACGCCAAUGAGAUUUGAAUUUGGGUCACAUAAAUGUGCACCCGAGUUUAAGAAAUUAAUAUUAUUAAAUACCGGACCUAAAGCAACUAGCGUAUUAUUAACUUUGCGGGAGGUCAUAAAAUUCGCUAAAUGGUACGUCCCGAGGUCUAAAUAUUUUUAAACAAAUAAUUAAAGAGGGUCACAUAAUUUAUGAUUUUUUAUUUGGCGCGGCGCACCUCAUUUAUAAUAAGCCCAUAAAACUAGUUUCUGAACCUGUUGACUAUUUUGUAAAAAUUUAGUGUACCAUUUAUUCCCAUCGAAUACUAUUAGGCAAACAUUCAAACUAAUGCAAGGCUGGUCAUUAGCUAAUUGUUAACCUAGAAUCUAAUAGUCAAUUAACUUUGUAAUUAUACAUCUUAAACAAAUUCAACGAUGAUAUGGACACUUUUAAUAGGCAAAGAUAUAAAUGAAAUCCUUUCCUCGCUAAGCUAUAAGAAAAAUUUAAUCUAAUAUGAAAAUGUACUGCUGAAAUUAAGUAUACUAACUAAAGCUACUUGAAACGCAUUCCUAUAAUUCUAAAGUCUAAUAAUUCCAUUAUUCACAAAUCCCACUAGACUAAUAUUACUGGCAGAUUAGUCAUGCGAUUAUAAACGUCUAGCAAUCUAACUAAUUACAAAUCAAUAUACUGUCAAAUACACAUAAUCACUCUAUGUUGUUAAACUAAACAAGGAAUAGGAAAAUUUAGAGACCGAAUUCAGUCGCAUUUCAUCAUUUAAAUUGCUACCUCAAUUUUAUAUUGAGCCUUCACUAGUUGUAUGAGACAAUAUGAAUACCUGGAAAUGAACAAAUGAGAGAAGGAUGAAUCAGCCAUGCAGACGACAAUCAACAGCAAAUGGAAUUCAACAGCAGCAAUGAAAUCGAUCUCGAACCCAUAAUAAGUUCAAAAUAGCCCAGGAAUAGAUCAAAGAAGUAAAGCCACCAGACAGCCGAAAUAAGUUGAUUGAAACAAAAUCCAGACUCGAAAUCAACUCAGGAAAGAUUUCGAUGAUCUAAAAAAACAAAACUCAAGGAAUCUCAAGUCAUUUUCAACUUAUCUAUGCUAGGGACUCGAGUUAACAGCUAGAACUUCAAAUUGAACUAAGGAAUUUCAAAAUAAUAGAAAUUUUUUGGCGUUUUUUGUGUUAUUUUUUCGUUUUUUCUGAAGGCUUAAGAUCUAAAAGGAAAUUUCUAACUCUAGAUUUGAGAUGUGGUUUUUUUUAAAUCUCAAAUUCAAAUUUUUAGAUUCUAAACUUGUAGAAAACUUUUUAGGGGAAUUUUCAGAUGCAAACUUGUGAAAUAAAGCAAUG
This 7618-nucleotide long non-coding RNA is filed under the name Nicotiana benthamiana. RNAcentral describes it as "long non-coding RNA (NBEN_LNC018392)". The record is from RNAcentral. Lineage: Eukaryota; Viridiplantae; Streptophyta; Magnoliopsida; Solanales; Solanaceae.